RNAcentral lists this ribosomal RNA (490 nucleotides) under uncultured bacterium. RNAcentral describes it as "partial 16S ribosomal RNA". It matches the Rfam family "Bacterial small subunit ribosomal RNA", at positions 30 to 507 of the family's 1533-position model. The record is from RNAcentral.
AUUGAACGCUGGCGGCAUGCCUUACACAUGCAAGUCGAACGGCAGCAUGAUCUAGCUUGCUAGAUUGAUGGCGAGUGGCGAACGGGUGAGUAAUACAUCGGAACGUGCCCUGUAGUGGGGGAUAACUAGUCGAAAGAUUAGCUAAUACCGCAUACGACCUGAGGGUGAAAGUGGGGGACCGCAAGGCCUCAUGCUAUAGGAGCUGCCGAUGUCUGAUUAGCUAGUUGGUGAGGUAAAGGCUCACCAAGGCGACGAUCAGUAGCUGGUCUGAGAGGACGAUCAGCCACACUGGGACUGAGACACGGCCCAGACUCCUACGGGAGGCAGCAGUGGGGAAUUUUGGACAAUGGGCGAAAGCCUGAUCCAGCAAUGCCGCGUGUGUGAAGAAGGCCUUCGGGUUGUAAAGCACUUUUGUCCGGAAAGAAAUGGCUCUGGUUAAUACCUGGGGUCGAUGACGGUACCGGAAGAAUAAGGACCGGCUAACUACGUG